UCAUCACUACUUUUAUUUUUGAGAGGUAUUGACAUGUUGAAUGCACCACGAUGUCUGUCUAAACAACUAGCACACCUCGGACACCCAUGCAUACCCCACAAGACAAGAGGUCUCUUCACAGUCCCCAAGACCAGAAUAGACUAUGGGAGGCAUACAGUUACUAGAUAGAGUUCCAUGUUGUCAUGGCUCUAUUCCACAUCAAGUAACUGACGCAAGCAGUAAAAUUAGACCGAAAACCCCCCAGAAAAAAUAACACCUUAUGAAACAGCGGGGCCUGUGAAGCAACACAAACAUUGGCACAGUCACACUAAAAUAACACAUCCUAGAUCUGAAUGAAUGAAAUAUUCUUCUUAAAUACUUUUUUCUUUACAUAGUUGAAUGUGCUGACAACAAAAUCACACAAAUUUGAUUUCCAUUGAUAAUUCUUAUCAACCCAUAGAGGUCUGGAUUUGGAGUCACACUCAAAAUUAAAGUGGAAAACCACACUACAGGCUGAUCCAACUUUGAUGUAAUGUCCUUAAAACAAGUCAAAAUGAGGCUCAGUAGUGUGUGUGGCCUCCACGUGCCUGUAUGACCUCCCUACAACGCCUGGGCAUGCUGCUGAUGAGGUGGCGGAUGUUCUCCUGAGGGAUCUCCUCCCAGACCUGGACUAAAGCAUCCGCCAACUCCUGGACAGUCUGUGGUGCAACGUGGCGUUGGUGGAUGGAGCGAGACAUGAUGUCCCAGAGGUGCUCAAUUGGAUUGAGGUCUGGGGAACGGGCGGACCAGUCCAUAGCAUCAAUGCCUUCCUCUUGCAGGAACUGUUGACACUCCAGCCACAUGAGGUCUAGCAUUGUCUUGCAUUAGGAGGAACCCAGGGCCAACCGCACCAGCAUAUGGUCUCACAAGGGGUCUGAGGAUCUCAUCUCGGUACCUAAUGGCAGUCAGGCUACCUCUGGCGAGCACUGCUUCCUGACUGAGAAUUGUGGGAGAACUAAAUUGGUGUUUGCAGUGAUGGUGCACAGACCAUGGCAGGGAUGAGAAAAUGUUAAGGGAAUUUCUAUCUAUAAUGACUAAUUAUGUAUACAUUUCAAUCAGGAUGAAUUAAAGGACUAUUAUGUUACUGUACAUGUAUGAAUUUUCUCUCUUGCUCCCAUUAUUGAAUAUAAUGUAGUGAAUGUAGUCGGGAGUUUAGUACAAUGACGGUCUGUUCCUUUGUACAAAUGAAUUAACUAUCUCCAGAUGGCAGGGACAGACUAUCUCCAGACUGUCUAGAAUGCUUAUCUACACUGACUGACCUUGGCUCUAGGCGAGGAGGGAAGGCUUGAGAACUAUAGGGCCUCUCUACCAGUGUCAAGAAGAGACGGAACAUUAAGAAAACGCUGACGUCAUUUUAAGUUUAUAACCUGUGGUAAAAUGUGUAUGAACUCAGUACUCUCUUGAAUUAAAGGCUGUUACUUGACUUUUAAGACCGGGGCUCUGUCCAUUCUUAUAAAAUAAGGGUCUACAAACCCUUAUGCAUUGACAGAGUGUUUAAUUUUGAUUGGGAAUUAAAACAGAGGAAUUAAAUUCCUUCAACAGAAAAGGACUUCGGGCACUCAUCAAGGAGGACUCACCUAAUGCUGAGUGGACACACUGUGUUAUACACAGAUAAGCACUGGCAUCAAGGCACCUUUCCUCUGAAUUAAGUGAGGUUAUGACUGACAUUGUAGGUGUAGUCAAUUUUAUAAAGACCAGACCACUAAAAACAAGAGUCUUCUCUGCUAUCUGUGAGGAGAUGGGAGCUGAACAUCAAGCUGUGCUGUUUCACAGUGAAGCAAGGUGGCUGUCACGAGGAAAAGUAUUGUCCUGAGUUUUUGAGCUCAGAGAGCCAGAUAAGAAUGUUUUUGGAGCAGGAGCACAAGUAUGACCUCGCAGAAAAAUUUAGUGAUGAGAACUUCCUGGCAAAACUGGCCUACCUGAGUGACAUGUUUGGAAAGCUAAAUUAACUAAAUCUACAGCUUCAAGGGAAAGAAAAACACCUCCC
Long non-coding RNA from Oncorhynchus tshawytscha (Chinook salmon), 2005 nucleotides. Lineage: Eukaryota; Metazoa; Chordata; Actinopteri; Salmoniformes; Salmonidae. The record is from Ensembl.